Molecule: non-coding RNA, 282 nt
Organism: Pelobates cultripes (western spadefoot toad)
Lineage: Eukaryota; Metazoa; Chordata; Amphibia; Anura; Pelobatidae
Source: the annotation of a GenBank genome assembly
CUGAUUUCUGAGUCGGUGUCGCUCUCUAUCUGUGCUCUGGCACAUUUCCAUAGCCGCGCCCGUUCUGCCUGGCGCAGAAAGGCUCUUUUGCGUGGAUGGGACACGCUUUCUGGGGCGACCGAAGGUACGCCAGUCAUGGUGUUUCUGGAGGCAGAGGGAUGCUUGGACUUACGGGUAGCCUUUUUAAACACCUCUCCCUGGGGUUUCAUGGAGGGACGCGGUAAAGGCGUCGAGAAGCCCGAAAGUUGCUCGUCUGAAGGACAUGGCAAGAGGGCCUGUGAA